RNAcentral lists this unclassified non-coding RNA (2261 nucleotides) under Bactrocera tryoni. Its description in RNAcentral is "aldehyde dehydrogenase, dimeric NADP-preferring, transcript variant X8". The record is from RNAcentral. Lineage: Eukaryota; Metazoa; Arthropoda; Insecta; Diptera; Tephritidae.
AGUGAGGUUUUGAUUUCAGUUAUCGGUGCACACGAGCUGCUCAUUUUUAGCGCCGCUACAAAGUGGAGCUCAUCUGCUCAAUAUUUGGUAAUUUGUCUAACAUUCGCAUAGGCUUUUUUUCGCGGGUGCGUAACUGAAUUUUAGAAAAAAGAAGUUACAUUGCAAAGUUGAACGAGAAAAAACAUACUCGUCACCCAUAGUAUCGAAUUGAUAUGGGCGUAUGUAAAUAAACAAACUAGAGCCGCGCUACAGCAACAAAGACGUGUGUCAAAAUACGAAGUGUAACAUAAUUAAAAGCAGAAAAGGAUUACUACAUAAAAACGGCGGAAGUGCGGAAGUACUCGUAAAACGUCAAAAACAAAUAUCCAGUUAACGGAACUAUAUAAUUUGCAUUCUUUCGAAAAUGAGUGCGAUCGUAGAUGUAGGUAACUCUGAGAAACUGUUUGUGCCGUCUACAACAAUACUGAUACCGAAUAAUAAUAAUAAUAAUGAGCCUGGAAAAAGUCAUAUUAACAUUAAAAAUGAUGGCGCCGCUAUUAUUGAAAUUGAUAACGCAAUCGGUGCCGAUAACGAACUGUUCAACAAAAUGGCAAAUUUUGAAGAUAUCGUCCAAAGAUGCCGUACUGCAUUCGCCAGUGGAAAAACAAAAGAUGUCAAUUUCAGGCGAAAACAGUUGGAGAAUCUACUGAAAAUGUAUGAAGAACAUGAAAAUGAGAUGAUUAACGCGCUCGAUGCAGAUUUGCGGCGCCCGAAGCAAGAAAGUUUGGUGGUAGAAACAGAGUUUCUUAAAAAUGACAUCAAACACAUACUUUACAAUUUGGGAGAUUGGGUUAAACCCGAAACGCCGGAAAAAUCAUUUGUUAAUCUACUGGACGAUGUGCAAAUUUUCAAUGAUCCCUAUGGUGUGGUCCUGGUGAUCGGCGCAUGGAAUUAUCCACUACAACUGUUGUUGGUACCCGUUGCAGCUGCCAUAGCUGCUGGAAACUGCGUUGUGCUCAAGCCAAGUGAAAUUUCCACCAACUGCGCCAAAUUCAUAACGGAGAUGGUGCCGAAAUAUUUGGAUAAUGACUGCUAUCCAGUUGUGUGCGGUGGUCCAACCGAAACGGCUGAAUUGUUGAAGCAACGCUUCGAUUACAUUUUCUACACAGGCUCAACAAGAGUUGGCAAAAUUAUACACGCUGCCGCCAAUAAGUAUUUGACGCCGGUAACACUCGAAUUGGGUGGUAAAAGUCCCUGUUACAUUGAUAAAUCCGUUGAACUGCGUACGGCUGUGAAACGCAUACUCUGGGGCAAACUGAUCAAUUGCGGUCAAACGUGUAUAGCGCCCGAUUAUGUGCUGUGUUCGAAAGAAAUACAAGAGAAACUUAUUGCCGAAGCAAAAGACGUGCUCAAAGAGUGGUAUGGCGAGGAUAUCAAGAGCAGUCCAGAUCUCAGUCGUAUUAUCAAUCAUAAUAAUUUCCAACGCCUGCUUGGUCUAAUGAAAAGCGGCAAAGUCGCUGUUGGUGGUAAUUAUGAUGUCUCUGAACGUUUCAUUGAGCCCACAAUAUUAACAGAUGUUAAAGCUGAUGAUCCUAUUAUGCAAGAGGAGAUUUUCGGCCCUCUUUUGCCCAUAUUCACAGUUGAAAAUGCCUACGAUGCAAUCAAAUUCAUCAAUUCCAGGGAGAAGCCUUUAGUGAUCUACGUUUUCUCCACAAAUUCGAAUGUAGUUAAAGAAUUUAAACAAAACACAACAAGUGGCGGAUUUUGCAGUAAUGAGACCAUAUUGCACGUUGGAGUUGACACUUUGCCAUUUGGCGGUGUCGGAUCCAGUGGCAUGGGACGCUAUCAUGGUAAAUAUGGUUUUGAAACAUUCACGCAUAAGAAAUCGUGCCUUGGCAAGGAUCUGCAUCCGCUUGGCGAACUACUGGCAUCCGGUCGUUAUCCACCUUAUUCAGAUCGCAAAUCAACGAUACUGGGUAUGCUGCUGCGCAAACGUCGCCCAUUCCCCAAGCUCUAUCUGUCACACCUAUUAGCGGUCGGUUUGGGUAUCGGCCUCACAGUACUCUUCACCCAUUAUUUACAGGGCAAAUUAUUUUCACGCUAAAAAAGCUUGUUUGACGUCCGUUAAUUCAGUGAUUGCCUCCACGGCCACUACGGCCACCACAUACCUAAGCAUUGAUUGAGUGAUUACGAUAAGAAAUGAUAGAAAUGUUCUUGCAUAAAACAAACACAAAAUUAUCUGUAAUCAAUAAAUGCUGAAGCAAGGAGAUGACUUAAAUAUA